UCCAGAUGAAGUAACGAACUCCUCUGGUCUCCUGCAUGCUGGGUGCAGGACAAUUCUGUAAAGAAAUGCCAGUGCAUGUCGGCGUCUUCAGGGUGGUGACCACACAGUGACUGUGACCUUAGAUGAAGGAGGAUGCCUCGGAGCAAGUGACCGUGGUGGCACCUGCCCACCCACCUUGUGUGGGGCUGCCUUUCUGCUGGACACACUUGAUCCAUGCUGUACCGGGAAGGCAGCCAUUGUGGAGACUCAGUCACUCACUCAGCAAAGGUUUGUGGGACCGCGUAUGACCAUGGAAGACGCAUCACACCAUCCUGUCGUCCUGAGCAAAUUCGUGCCUAACAGAGAAAACACUGAAACCUUCGCGAAUGUUUGCUUGGCUUUUUAUUAUUUAGUGUAUUUAUAUUGGACUUUUCCAGGAGAUCUGUGGUUGAAAUUGCUUGGCACCCAA
This 448-nucleotide long non-coding RNA is filed under the name Homo sapiens (human). RNAcentral's name for it is "HSALNT0169931". The record is from RNAcentral. Lineage: Eukaryota; Metazoa; Chordata; Mammalia; Primates; Hominidae.